UGCNGGUUUAACGAAUUCGCCCNNNNGACUUUUCCUNCUGGCACGUAGUUAGCCGGGGCUUAUUCCCGGGUUCACGUCAUCGGACGGCCAUUCCCUGCCAUCCUUAUUCCCCCCCCGGAAAAGAACUUUACAACCUCACGGCCUUCAUCGUUCACGCGGCGUCGCUCCGUCAGACUUGCGUCCAUUGCGGAANAUUCUUAGCUGCUGCCUCCCGUANGAGUCUGGGCCGNGUCUCAGUCCCAAUGUGGCCGAUCGCCCUCUCAGGCCGGCUAUCCAUCGUCGCCUUGGUGGGCCGUUACCCCGCCAACUAGCUAAUGGACCGCGGACUCAUCCCCCGGCGGCGCCUUGGCGCCUUUCCUCGCCCGCGCUUGUGCGCGGCCGGUCGCAUCCGGUAUUACCCCAUGUUUCCAUGGGCUAUCCCCGACCGGGGGGCAGAUUGUCCACGUGUUACUCACCCGUCCGCCGCUCUAGGGGCCCGAAGGCCCUUGCCGCUCGACUUGCAUGCUUAAAACGCGCCGCCAGCGUUCGUUCUGAGCCAUGAUCAAACUCAAGGGCGAAUUCGCGGCCGCUAAAUUCAAUUCGCCCUAAGGGGGG
RNAcentral lists this ribosomal RNA (594 nucleotides) under uncultured spirochete. RNAcentral describes it as "partial 16S ribosomal RNA". Lineage: Bacteria; Pseudomonadati; Spirochaetota; Spirochaetia; Spirochaetales. The record is from RNAcentral.